AAGGGAGGAGKAACUCGCGUCCGAAUWCGUUAGCAUGGGAUAAUGGAAUACGACUUCGGUCUUGUUUCGUUGGUUUCGCUUGGCUGAAGUAAUGAUUGAUAGGGACAGUUGGGGGCAUUAGUAUUUAGUUGUCAGAGGUGAAAUUCUAGGAUUUACUAAAGACUGACCAAUGCGAAAGCAUUUGCCAAGGAUGUUUUCAUUAAUCAAGAACGAAAGUAGGGGGAUCGAAGACGAUCAGAUACCGUCGUAGUCUCUACCGUAAACUAUGCCGACCAGGGAUCCGGAGAGUUUGCAUGGAUGACUCCCCGGGCACCUUGUGAGAAAUCAUAAGUGUUUGGGUUUUGGGGGGAGUAUGGUCGCAAGGCUGAAACUAAAGGAAUGACGAAGGCGCUAAUAUGC
Molecule: ribosomal RNA, 399 nt
Filed under: uncultured amoeba
Lineage: Eukaryota
Description: SSU rRNA
Rfam family: Eukaryotic small subunit ribosomal RNA
Source: RNAcentral